This is a long non-coding RNA of Eriocheir sinensis (Chinese mitten crab), 1356 nucleotides long. RefSeq lists it as uncharacterized. NCBI's taxonomy places the organism in Eukaryota, Metazoa, Arthropoda, Malacostraca, Decapoda, Varunidae. The transcript is spliced from 3 exons. The record is from RefSeq and is a predicted model, not a curated record.
UUUUUUUUUGGUGUUUUUCUUUUUCUUUUUUGUUUCUUUUUCCUUUUCUUUUCUUUAUCUUUUUCUUUGUUUUCUUGCUGUUGUUUUUCUUUCUUGAUGUUCUUUUAUUUCAUAUCAUCCUCUUGUUGAUGUUCGUUGGUCUGGGUGAGCCGCUUUCCUCCCAGAAGAGACCCACCCAUAAUUUUGGUGAUGUUAGUUAGGGGCCGAAAGGUGGAUGAUGUUUCUUAUAUUUUUCUUCUCUUGAUGUGUUUUCUUCUUGUUUUCUUUUCCGAUGUUUUUUCUGUUCUUUUCUUCUUAUUUCUUUUCUUCGUGUUUUUUAAUGUUCUUUUAUUUCAUAUCAUCCUCUUGUUGAUGUUCUUCGUUGGUCUGGGUGAGCCGCUUUCCUCCCAGAAGAGACCCACCCAUAAUUUUGGUGAUGUUAGUUUGGGGCCGAAUGGUGGAUGAUGUUUCUUUGUAUGUUACUUUUCUUGACGUUGUUCUGUUAUUGUUGUUAAUUUUCUCUUGCGAUGUUUUUUUCUCUUUUUCCCAUUUUUUUGGUGUUCCUUUCUAUAUCAUCCCUUUUUGAUGUUCUUUGGUCUGGAUGAGCCUCUUUCUCCCCAGAAAAGACUCACCCAUAAUUUUGAAGAUGUUAGGGCCUGAAGGUGGAUGAUUUGUGUUUUUUAUUUUAUUUUCUUGAUGUUUUGUUACUAUAUUUUCCUUUUUCUGGUGUUCCUUUUUAUUUUCCUUUUCUUUGGUGUUCCCAUCACGUGGAUUGUCUACGACAUCUAACGAGCACCACAAGCCCGGGUUUAUUGUUCGGAGUUUGCUCUCCUAGGCAGACUGCCUACCACGGCUGACGAGCUCCACCUGCCCGGGUUUAUUGUUCGGAGUUUGCUCUCCUAGGUGUAUUACCUAUGACGGCUCACGAGCCCAACCUGCCCGGGUUUAUUGUUCGGAGUUUGCUCUCCUAGAUGAAUUGCUUUCGCUAACGACCUCCACCUGCCCGGGUUUGUAAUCGGAGUUUGCUCUCCUAGGUGAACUGCUCACGCUAACGACCUCCACCUGCCCGGUUUUGUAAUCGGAGUUUGCUCUCCUAGAUGAACUGCUUUCGCUAACGACCUCCACCUGCCCGGGUUUAUUGUUCGGAGUUUGCUCUCCUAGGUGAAUUGCCUACCACGGCUAACGAGCCCCACCUGCCCGGGUUUAUUGUUCGGAGUUUGCUCUCCUAGGUGAAUUGCCUACCACGGCUAACGAGCCCCACCUGCCCGGCGUUGUAGCCGAAAGAUCUCCGGCACCUCCGUCGGGGUCCCGAUGGACGCCGAGGCGCCCUACCGGGAGCCCUUCAGUCCUGCCAUGCUCGCCUGGGAGACCUUGGGC